GGGAGGGGUUGUUACCUUGGAGACACGUGAUGGGGGGAGGGGUUGGUUACCUUGGAGACACGUGAUGGGGGGUGGUUACCUUGGAGACACGUGAUGUGGGGGGAGGAGUUGGUUACCUUGGAGAUGAAGAUGGUGUUGAUCUUGGGGUUGUGUUUAAAGUUCUGCAGGAUCUGCAUCCUCUCUCCCUGAGAGGCGAGACAGGUUAGAUAUGGGGCCUGAGAGGAGAGACAGGUUAGAUAUGGGGUCUGAGAGGAGAGACAGGUUAGAUAUGGGGCCUGAGAGGAGAGAGAGACGUUAGAUAUGGGGCCUGAGAGGAGAGACAGGUUAGAUAUGGGGCCUGAGAGGAGAGACAGGUUAGAUAUGGGGCCUGAGCGGAGAGACAGGUUAGAUAUGGGGCCUGAGAGGAGAGAGAGACGUUAGAUAUGGGGCCUGAGGUACGAGGUAAUAACAUGGCUAUAUACACAUGGUACCAGUACUGAGUCAAUGUGCUGAGGUAUGACGUAAUAACAUGGAUAUAUACACAUGGUACCAGUACUGAGGUACGAGGUAAUAACAUGGCUAUAUACACAUGGUACCAGUACUGAGGUACGAGGUAAUAACAUGGCUAUAUACACAUGGUACCA
Molecule: long non-coding RNA, 623 nt
Filed under: Salmo salar (Atlantic salmon)
Lineage: Eukaryota; Metazoa; Chordata; Actinopteri; Salmoniformes; Salmonidae
Description: lncRNA (ENSSSAG00000082695.1)
Source: RNAcentral